AUGUUGUUUCCUCAGUGGAGUGCUAUGGUCAUCUGCUUCCAACAUUUGCUGUAUGACACUGGGAUAACAGAACUGGCAGGACAGAGAGAAGAAAUAGCUGAAGCCUAUAGUGGAUGCCAAUCCAGUAGCCCAACAUCCUGCAGACUAAUCAGGAAGGGGAGGAGUAUGGAAUGCCAGGUGCUGAAGUUUCAAAGGAUUUGGGUCUAUUGGCAGAGGGCAAAGUCCCAUGAAGUGACUGAAGAAAAUUCAACAUCUUGGGCCUGUCUUAUUCUCCCAAGAAGCAGAAAAAAAUCAUGGAAGAGGUUGAGUCAUGGACUUUUCAUGGCAACACUGAACAUGGUACCACUGAACAUGGAAGCCAGUGGGAGAGUUGAAUUUCAUUUCCAGUUCUACCACAAACAACAUAUACACAGCCCCUUCUGCUUUCUUGGCCUUACCUUCAACAUCAAAAAAAUGAUGACAUAUCACUAGCUGAUCUCAACAUCAGCUCUUCUUCUUGAAAUGGACUCUAUCAUGCCCUUGGACAGGUAUCUUCUUCCUGAGGUUCUUCUUCCCUCACUUAUUAGCUUAUUUUUGUGUAUUGUCUUCCCCAUUAGAUAGUAAGCUGCUUGAGAGCAGGAACUUUCUUUUUCUUGAUUGUAUCCCCAGUGCUUGGCAAAGUGUCUGACACCUAGUAGGUGUUUAAUAAAUAUUUAUCACCUGACUGACUUACUAACUCU
Molecule: long non-coding RNA, 719 nt
Filed under: Monodelphis domestica (gray short-tailed opossum)
Lineage: Eukaryota; Metazoa; Chordata; Mammalia; Didelphimorphia; Didelphidae
Description: lncRNA (ENSMODG00000046876.1)
Source: RNAcentral